AUUGAACGCUGGCGGCAGGCCUAACACAUGCAAGUCGAAUGGUAACAGGAAACAGCUUGCUGUGUCGCUGACGAGUGGCGGACGGGUGAGGAAUGUCUGGGAAACUGCCUGAUGGAGGGGGAUAACUACUGGAAACGGUAGCUAAAACCGCAUAACGUCGCAAGACCAAAGAGGGGGACCUUCGGGCCCCUUGCCAUCAGAUGUGCGCUGGUGGAGUUAGUUAGUAGGUGGGGUAACGGCUCACCUAGGCUACGAUCCCUAGCUGGUCUGAGAGGAUGACCGGCCACACUGGAACUGAGACACGGUCCAGACUCCUACGGGAGGCAGCAGUGGGGAAUAUUGCACAAUGGGCGCAAGCCUGAUGCAGCCAUGCCGCGUGUAUGAAGAAGGCCUUCGGGUUGUAAAGUACUUUCAGCGGGGAGGAAGGGAGUAAAGUUAAUACCUUUGCUCAUUGACGUUACCCGAAGAAGAAGCACCGGCUAACUCCGUG
RNAcentral lists this ribosomal RNA (490 nucleotides) under uncultured bacterium. RNAcentral describes it as "partial 16S ribosomal RNA". It matches the Rfam family "Bacterial small subunit ribosomal RNA", at positions 30 to 507 of the family's 1533-position model. The record is from RNAcentral.